This 468-nucleotide ribosomal RNA is filed under the name uncultured bacterium. RNAcentral describes it as "partial 16S ribosomal RNA". It matches the Rfam family "Bacterial small subunit ribosomal RNA", at positions 28 to 507 of the family's 1533-position model. The record is from RNAcentral.
GACGAACGCUGGCGGCGUGCUUAACACAUGCAAGUCGAACGGAAAGGCCCUGCUUUUGUGGGGUGCUCGAGUGGCGAACGGGUGAGUAACGCGUGAGUAACCUGCCCUUGACUUUGGGAUAACUUCAGGAAACUGGGGCUAAUACCAGAUAGGAGCUCCUGCUGCAUGGUGGGGGUUGGAAAGUUUCGGCGGUUGGGGAUGGACUCGCGGCUUAUCAGCUUGUUGGUGGGGUAGUGGCUUACCAAGGCUUUGACGGGUAGCCGGCCUGAGAGGGUGACCGGCCACAUUGGGACUGAGAUACGGCCCAGACUCCUACGGGAGGCAGCAGUGGGGAAUAUUGCACAAUGGGCGGAAGCCUGAUGCAGCAACGCCGCGUGCGGGAUGACGGCCUUCGGGUUGUAAACCGCUUUCGCCUGUGACGAAGCGUGAGUGGCGGUAAUGGGUAAAGAAGCACCGGCUAACUACGUG